CCAAAAGUGACUCCAUGCCAAAGCAUUGUUUUGCUUGCUUCAAUCUAGUUCAACAUGACAACUGGACAAGGUUGGUGCUGUUUUUAUUCUGUCUACACCCUUCUCUAAACUGCAAGAAAGCCUAACAGUCCCAGUUAUAGGGGCUAUUGUUUUUAGCACAAUAUAAAAGGAUUUGUGUUUCUGAUCUAUAAGCACUCUAUGACCACCGCCUCAGCUGGUGUAACUCACCGUACCACAAAUGAAGUCAAAGGCACAUUGUGUACUGACUUACACUGACUGAAGAGAUGGCCUGCUGAAGUUAUGACAAAGUCAUGCUUUGAAUUGAUAAGAACCACCAAAUUAUGCAGAAAGCUAACUUAAGUAAUCAGAUGUUUACUUGUUGCCCUUGGACUCUCUCCUUCCUGUUGCUGAAUCUUCAGAAUGGGAGAUCAUCGGCCGGCCUGCCUUCCUGUCUGGAGAAGAAACACCCCUGAACCUUGAACCCGAGUAGGGCCUCUCAGUGCUCCUGCAAUACAGUACAUAAUAAUGAUUGUGGUAAUAAAUCUAUUUGUGCUCUCACAGUGUAUGAGAACUAUUAAAGCAGCUAAA
This is a non-coding RNA of Pelodiscus sinensis (Chinese soft-shelled turtle), 588 nucleotides long. Lineage: Eukaryota; Metazoa; Chordata; Testudines; Trionychidae. The record is from RefSeq and is a predicted model, not a curated record.